Molecule: long non-coding RNA, 1538 nt
Organism: Falco peregrinus (peregrine falcon)
Lineage: Eukaryota; Metazoa; Chordata; Aves; Falconiformes; Falconidae
Exons: 2
Source: RefSeq, a predicted model, not a curated record
UCAAACACGAUACCCCCCCCCUCCUCUGGAAUAUAAAGAGAGUGAAACUGAAGCCGUGCGGGAGAUAAGGCGGCAGCACCGGGCAGCUCAUAUGGAAUUACCGCAGUGACCUUGAGCGGGAGGCGGCCAGAAGUUCUUACACCACCCGCUUGCCCUGUGCCACCAGGCUCCUGCCUUGGAAGGGAAGGAGACGCCAGCAUGGGACAUUCUUCCGGGGUACGUGACUGACGUGAAACUCCCAUCUACCUGGUUUUGUAUCAACAAAUCUUCCUGUGAGCAGAGAUAUACAUGGAGCCUAGUUUCUAUAGGCUGAACUGGAGGCACGGAUCUUGUGAAUGGGCUUUGUGAUCUUUUAAGGUAAAGCUAUGAAAUACAAGUAUUCCUGCCUUUGAGACAAUCACGUUGCCUCUAUAACAUGCAGUCUCCCUCUUGUCUAGAAACAGAUGGCUUGAGCUGUUUGAGUUGGGCAUAUUCACAAGCUGAUAAUCAUCUCCAGGGAGGCAGGAGCUAUUGUCAGAGCCUGUGAGACACACCCCAACUUCAGGCCUUUUUCCUCCUAAUUCUCAAAAUGUUGCUGAAAUUCUCACUACAGGAAUGCUGAGCAGAGACAUUCCCUUUGUGGGUCUGUGCCCACUGAGCCAGAGGAGGCUCCUGGCUUCCACAAAAGCCAAAACGCUUCCCCACACCCUGCUAAGAGAAAGCAUCUGGAAACAUGAAGGGCCUCACCUGGCCAGCAAAGAAAAAAAUAAGCUGCACUUUGCCAUGGUACUGCUGGGAGCCAAGGGGAACAUAUCCUUUCCCCAGAGACAGCACAUGAGUUAAAAUGAGAAAACAAAAUAAAACAAUUCUGCAGGAGGAACAGUUAUGUUACACUCCAUGCAGCUCCAAGACGCGUGUCAGUGUGGCUGCCAAGGUAAAGGAGCACGUGCCUGAGGCACACACGCCUGGUGCAACUGCGCAGCCACGUACAGGAUUUGUAACAGCGAUGCUCAGCAUGGAUACACAUCUGCUGCGUAAGAACCCCAAAGGUAUCACAAACCUCAAUUAAUAAUCUGCACUGAUGUCAUUUCUCCACAGGGCCAAAGCCUUUUUUGGGAAUGCUGUCCAGCUACUUUAGCAGGAAGACAGCUCUUUAAUGACACAUGCCAGGUCUCCCUUGAUGCCAGGUCUAAAAGAGCCCCUGCACCCAGCUCAUUCUGCCUUGGAAAGCUGCUCCGACCCAAGCCCGGCUGCAGAGCACACGACACUCAGACCUGGGAUGCCUCCACAGAAAGCUCCAUUCCAGCUGCAAUGCACAAAGAAACCCAGACAGAAAGCAGUGAUAAGCCCAGACACACAUGCUGGCAGAGACAGGAGGGGUGGCUCUAACAAGGCCUUACCAUGCUCACAAUAUUUACGGCAUGAAUUUCACUCAUUUGAAUUCAAGAGCGGUUAGUCUUGGAAGGCAGCAAGAAACAGUUGGAUCAGAAUGGGGCAGAACUGGAUGGAAAGAGAUGGCAAGAUGAGCACAAGAAAUAAAGUCAUGGGUGCAAAACCAA